Molecule: unclassified non-coding RNA, 306 nt
Filed under: fungal sp.
Lineage: Eukaryota; Fungi
Description: partial contains 5.8S ribosomal RNA, internal transcribed spacer 2, and large subunit ribosomal RNA
Rfam family: 5.8S ribosomal RNA (bases 1-71)
Source: RNAcentral
GUGAGUCAUCGAAUCUUUGAACGCACAUUGCGCCCGCCAGUAUUCUGGCGGGCAUGCCUGUCCGAGCGUCAUUUCAACCCUCGAACCCCUCCGGGGGAUCGGCGUUGGGGAUCGGGACCCCUCACACGGGUGCCGGCCCCGAAAUACAGUGGCGGUCUCGCCGCAGCCUCUCCUGCGCAGUAGUUUGCACAACUCGCACCGGGAGCGCGGCGCGUCCACGUCCGUAAAACACCCAACUUUCUGAAAUGUUGACCUCGGAUCAGGUAGGAAUACCCGCUGAACUUAAGCAUAUCAAUAAGCGGAGGA